Non-coding RNA from Bombardia bombarda, 102 nucleotides. The record is from the annotation of a GenBank genome assembly. NCBI's taxonomy places the organism in Eukaryota, Fungi, Ascomycota, Sordariomycetes, Sordariales, Lasiosphaeriaceae.
GGCAAGGUGGCCGAGCGGUCUAAGGCGCCACGUUUAGGCAAAACCUGAAAUUCCCAUUCCGUGGUCUCGAAAGAGGCGUGGGUUCGAACCCCACCCUUGUCA